CGGCCGGGAACUCAAAGGAGACUGCCAGUGAUAAACUGGAGGAAGGUGGGGAUGACGUCAAGUCAUCAUGGCCCUUACGAGUAGGGCUACACACGUGCUACAAUGGCGCAUACAAAGAGAAGCGAACUCGCGAGAGCAAGCGGACCUCAUAAAGUGCGUCGUAGUCCGGAUCGGAGUCUGCAACUCGACUCCGUGAAGUCGGAAUCGCUAGUAAUCGUGGAUCAGAAUGCCACGGUGAAUACGUUCCCGGGCCUUGUACACACCGCCCGUCACACCAUGGGAGUGGGUUGCAAAAGAAGUAGGUAGCUUAACCUUCGGGAGGGCGCUUACCACUUUGUGAUUCAUGACUGGGGUGAAGUC
This 360-nucleotide ribosomal RNA is filed under the name Enterobacter sp. DJM1G2. RNAcentral's name for it is "bacterial SSU rRNA". It matches the Rfam family "Bacterial small subunit ribosomal RNA", at positions 1128 to 1487 of the family's 1533-position model. The record is from RNAcentral. Lineage: Bacteria; Pseudomonadati; Pseudomonadota; Gammaproteobacteria; Enterobacterales; Enterobacteriaceae.